RNAcentral lists this ribosomal RNA (1368 nucleotides) under Callistethus schneideri. RNAcentral's name for it is "eukaryotic LSU rRNA". It matches the Rfam family "Eukaryotic large subunit ribosomal RNA", at positions 666 to 1861 of the family's 3401-position model. Lineage: Eukaryota; Metazoa; Arthropoda; Insecta; Coleoptera; Scarabaeidae. The record is from RNAcentral.
CCAAGGAGUCUAGCAUGUGCGCGAGUCAUUGGGACUCUAUUCGAAACCUAAAGGCGCAAUGAAAGUGAAGGUUCGCCUAGCGCGAACCGAGGGAGGAUGGACGGUCGUUCGUGGCCGUCCCGCACUCCCUGGGCGUCUCGUUCUCAUCGCGAGAAGGGACGCACCAAGAGCGUACACGCUGGGACCCGAAAGAUGGUGAACUAUGCCUGGUCAGGACGAAGUCAGGGGAAACCCUGAUGGAGGUCCGUAGCGAUUCUGACGUGCAAAUCGAUCGUCGGAACUGGGUAUAGGGGCGAAAGACUAAUCGAACCAUCUAGUAGCUGGUUCCCUCCGAAGUUUCCCUCAGGAUAGCUGGCGCUCGCUUCUCGCGAGUCUCAUUCGGUAAAGCGAAUGAUUAGAGGCAUUGGGGUCGAAACGGCCUCAACCUAUUCUCAAACUUUAAAUGGGUGAGAUCUCCGGCUUGCUUGGCCGCGAGAUAUCGGAUCAGAGUGCCAAGUGGGCCACUUUUGGUAAGCAGAACUGGCGCUGUGGGAUGAACCAAACGCCGAGUUAAAGCGCCUAAAUCGACGCUUAUGGGAUACCAUGAAAGGCGUUGGUAACUUAAGACAGCAGGACGGUGGCCAUGGAAGUCGGAAUCCGCCAAGGAGUGUGUAACAACUCACCUGCCGAAGUUACUAGCCCUGAAAAUGGAUGGCGCUGAAGCGUCGUGCUUAUACUCUGCCGUCAGCGGCAUGUGAGACGGUCCUUAAGAGGUCGUCAUGAAGCCCUGACGAGUAGGAGGGUCGCGGCGGUGAGCGCAGAAGGACCAGGCGCGAGCCAGUCUGGAGCCGCCGUCGGUGCAGAUCUUGGUGGUAGUAGCAAAUACUCCAGCGAGGCCCUGGAGGACUGACGUGGAGAAGGGUUUCGUGUGAACAGCCGUUGCACACGAGUCAGUCGAUCCUAAGCCAUAGGCGAAAGCCGAUGUCGAUGCGGUGUAUCUUUCAGUGUCUAAGGCUAUUUAUAUAUGUAUACAUAUAUAUAUACUAACCUCGAAUAGGACGUAUAGAGAGACUCACACCCGUCGGGCGAAAGGGAAUCCGGUUCCUAUUCCGGAACCCGGCAGCGGAACCGUUAUUAAGUCGUGCCCUCAUUCAGAGAGUUCGUCGGGGCAACCCAAAAGGACCUGGAGACGCCGUCGGGAGAUCCGGGAAGAGUUUUCUUUUCUGCAUAAGCGCUCGAGUUCCAUGGAAUCCUCUAGCAGGGAGAUAUGGUUUGGAGCGCGAAGAGCACCGCAGUUGCGGCGGUGUCCGGAUCUUCCCCUCGGACCUUGAAAAUCCAGGAGAGGGCCACGUGGAGGCGUCGCGCCGGUUCGUACCCAUAUCCGCAGCA